CCUACGGGAGGCUGCAGUGGGGAAUAUUGGACAAUGGGGGGAACCCUGAUCCAGCCAUGCCGCGUGUGUGAAGAAGGCCCUCGGGUUGUAAAGCACUUUCAGUGAGGAAGAACGCCUGGUGGUUAAUACCCAUCAGGAAAGACAUCACUCACAGAAGAAGCACCGGCUAACUCCGUGUCAGCAGCCGCGGUAAUACGGAGGGUGCGAGCGUUAAUCGGAAUUACUGGGCGUAAAGCGCGCGUAGGUGGCUUGAUAAGCCGGUUGUGAAAGCCCCGGGCUCAACCUGGGAACGGCAUCCGGAACUGUCAAGCUAGAGUGCAGGAGAGGAAGGUAGAAUUCCCGGUGUAGCGGUGAAAUGCGUAGAGAUCGGGAGGAAUACCAGUGGCGAAGGCGGCCUUCUGGACUGACACUGACACUGAGGUGCGAAAGCGUGGGUAGCAAACAGGAUUAGAUACCCCGGUAGUC
This 465-nucleotide ribosomal RNA is filed under the name Vreelandella stevensii. Its description in RNAcentral is "partial 16S ribosomal RNA". It matches the Rfam family "Bacterial small subunit ribosomal RNA", at positions 338 to 795 of the family's 1533-position model. Lineage: Bacteria; Pseudomonadati; Pseudomonadota; Gammaproteobacteria; Oceanospirillales; Halomonadaceae. The record is from RNAcentral.